This 465-nucleotide ribosomal RNA is filed under the name Vreelandella stevensii. Its description in RNAcentral is "partial 16S ribosomal RNA". It matches the Rfam family "Bacterial small subunit ribosomal RNA", at positions 338 to 795 of the family's 1533-position model. Lineage: Bacteria; Pseudomonadati; Pseudomonadota; Gammaproteobacteria; Oceanospirillales; Halomonadaceae. The record is from RNAcentral.
CCUAGGGGGGGCAGCAGUGGGGAAUAUUGGACAAUGGGCGAAAGCCUGAUCCAGCCAUGCCGCGUGUGUGAAGAAGGCCUUCGGGUUGUAAAGCACUUUCAGUGGGGAAGAAAGCCUUGGGGCUAAUACCCUCGAGGAAGGACAUCACCCACAGAAGAAGCACCGGCUAACUCCGUGCCAGCAGCCGCGGUAAUACGGAGGGUGCGAGCGUUAAUCGGAAUUACUGGGCGUAAAGCGCGCGUAGGCGGUCUGAUAAGCCGGUUGUGAAAGCCCCGGGCUCAACCUGGGAACGGCAUCCGGAACUGUCAGGCUAGAGUGCAGGAGAGGAAGGUAGAAUUCCCGGUGUAGCAGUGAAAUGCGUAGAGAUCGGGAGGAAUACCAGUGGCGAAGGCGGCCUUCUGGACUGACACUGACGCUGAGGUGCGAAAGCGUGGGUAGCAAACAGGAUUAGAUACCCGAGUAGUC